AGGCUUUCUUGGCAGAGAAGACACCAUGAUCAGGCAGGUGAUUUCCCCGGGGCAAGGCUCAUCCUUUGCACCCUGGGUGUGCAGACCCCUGCAAUUUCCCCAAAUGCAGGAAACUUGACUGCAUAAUUUGUGCUAGUGGGAGACUGUGCUGUUGGGGUUUUUUU
Molecule: small nuclear RNA, 164 nt
Organism: Pogoniulus pusillus (Red-fronted tinkerbird)
Lineage: Eukaryota; Metazoa; Chordata; Aves; Piciformes; Lybiidae
Product: U1 spliceosomal RNA
Exons: 1
Source: RefSeq, a predicted model, not a curated record